CCUACGGGAGGCAGCAGUAGGGAAUUUUCGUCAAUGGGCGCAAGCCUGAACGAGCAAUGCCGCGUGAACGAGGAAGGUCUUCGGAUCGUAAAGUUCUGUUGAAGGGGAAAAAGAGCGGAGAGAGGAAAUGGUCUCCGAUUGAUAUUACCCUUCGAGGACGUCACGGCUAACUACGUGCCAGCAGCCGCGGUAAUACGUAGGUGGCGAGCGUUAUCCGGAAUGAUUGGGCGUAAAGGGUGCGUAGGCGGCCUGCUAAGUCUGGCGUGAAAGGUACCGGCUCAACCGGUACAGGCUCUGGAAACUGGCGGGCUAGAGAGCAGGAGAGGGCGGUGGAACUCCAUGUGUAGCGGUAAAAUGCGUAGAUAUAUGGAAGAACACCAGUGGCGAAGGCGGCCGCCUGGCCUGUUACUGACGCUGAGGCACGAAAGCGUGGGGAGCAAAUAGGAUUAGAUACCCCAGUAGUC
Molecule: ribosomal RNA, 464 nt
Filed under: uncultured bacterium
Lineage: Bacteria
Description: partial 16S ribosomal RNA
Rfam family: Bacterial small subunit ribosomal RNA
Source: RNAcentral